Molecule: long non-coding RNA, 419 nt
Organism: Cyprinodon tularosa
Lineage: Eukaryota; Metazoa; Chordata; Actinopteri; Cyprinodontiformes; Cyprinodontidae
Exons: 3
Source: RefSeq, a predicted model, not a curated record
CUCCUCGAUGGGACAACUGGGACUCUUCAGAGGCUGUCUUCAGCCUGAUGUCCCACUGGGACACGAAGAGAGCCUCCAGGGUAAUUACAAUCCUUGUGUUCCACCCCUUUUGUGUCCUGCUCACCACACCAAUCAGAUCGUGCAAUGACAUUAUGGCUCAUUACACCUGGACAGAAGCAUUUGCAGCUCAUGGACAGCCCCUCACUUUGUGUCAAAGAGCUGUGUCCAGGGACACUUACAUGUAGCGAGUCGUCAUGUAUUCUGUAGCUGCAUCCUCAUCACACCUACAGAAGAGCACUAAUGGAUAGCGAGAGGUUUAGAACUGGGAAAAAUAGAAGCAGAGAGAGGGAAUCAUCGGUGAAGCAGAAGUAGGAAGAGCGGCAGCAGAAAAACAUUGUGGUCAUCUGCAGUGCGAUGAG